UUCUUUUGAAAAAUCUUCAUACUAUAGAAGCUAAAAAAUCUCAUAGUUUUUGGUGGAAUCAUGACAACGACGAUGACCGCUGCAAUGGCAUCACCUUCCCGUUGGCUACUUGUCAACCCUUUAAGAUAAUAACCAUUAAGAGAAAAAAGAGAAAUUGAGCAAUGUUGCUAGGUUCUUUAUGAGAACAACGGCAAAGGCAACAGUAGCAGUGGGGGAGUUGCUGGUGUAUUUUACUGCUUUCUAAUAAAGUUUGAGAGAGUUAAUGGUUAGUGGUGAACAUGGAGAAGAAUAUCACCUCAUUAAAAUAAAUUUCAUGAUCUAUACGAUUGUAUCACUAUGCAUAUGUAUCAUAGUAAAAAAAGUAUAUUUUUUUGCUCAUGAUACAUAUGAAUGUGCUUGCAUGCUAAUGUAUCAUAGUCUACUAAUUCAUAUAUAAUAUGAAGUUUAUUAGUAUUUGUUCAUGAAACAUGUGAAUGUAUCUCUGUGCAUAUGUAUCAUAGUAAAAAAAUAUAAUUUUUUUCAUGAUACAUAUGAAUUUUCUUGCAUACGUGCAUAUGCAUCAUAAUACAAAAUAAUGUCUUUUCUUAUUCAUGAUACAUAUGAAUGCAUCUACAUGCUCAUGUAAUAAAUUUAUCAAUUUUUUAUGUAUACAGUAGAUUAGUGUGUGUUUAUGAUACAUAUGAACAUCUAUUCACACAGUUAUAUUAUUCUUGAUCAAAGUCCCUCAAUUUUUUUCAAAAUUAAUUAAUUUACCAAUCAAAUGUACCAAGUAUACAUGCAUCAGGCAUAUGUGUAAGAUAAGAGUAUUUGAUACAUAACAAGAACUUGUGUUUUUUUUCAUAAUUUAAGGAUGAUACAUAUGUUUGAAAUCUAAUAUAUGAGAUUUAUGUAUCAUACAUAUAUAUCAGAUAAAAUAAGUGCUAAUAUAUAUAUAUAUAUAUAUAUAUAUAUAUAAAGUAUUAAUUUUUCUUCUAUUUUAGAGAUUUCUCUCAUAAUUUACUCUCCUAAAUAAAUUUAAUAUUGUUACUUCCUUAUUUAACUAAGCGAUUGGUAAAAUGAAUCAAAGACGACAUGUAUCAAGAUUUAAAAUAUGUGUCACAAAAUGAGAUUUAUGAAAUUUUAUGUAAUUAGACAAAAUUGUGGUAAAAAAUAUUGGUAGCUCCUUAACUUAUGGGAUUUGUGUAAGUUACCCUUUUAUCAUUAAUUUUUCUUCAAUUUACCCAAUUUUUUUUGCUGCAUUUUCUCUUAAAGCUUUCAAUUUUUUUCAGUGCCAAUUUUCAUGGAUUUUAAUUUUUAGAAUUUUUUUAUUUGAAUAAUUAAAAAAGGUUGGAUAUUUUUUGUACUUUAUAUAUUGGGAUUCAAGAAUAAGACAGCCCAUUUUUGCUCUGAUGAAUAAGAUGAAAAAACUAAUGACUUUCACUGCUACGUUUACUAUCGUUGGUGUUAUGCCGCCGUUAGAUACACCACUUACCAGCACUCAAUUAGCCUUACCAGAAUGAUGGGUGGAGGCAGAUAUGGAGAGAAGCGCGACUAGUGGUCGAGGGAGAUAGUGAUGGUGUUCACGGUGGAAUUGUCUCAAUUUUCUAACCUCAUAUUUAGUUGAAUGUUUGAGACAAAGUUUAAUUAAUUUGAACAUUUCUUAUCCGUAGAUGUAAUGUUUCUUCUCCAUUUCAAAUUUUUAAAUUUUUUUUAGAAAAAAAUGUAUAAUUUGAAAACCAAAUCGUAUAUUAGUGUCAAUUUAACAAAAUGAAUCUUGAUGAAUUGAUUUCAUAAUUGGGUAUUUGAUUCAAUUUUAGUGAAUUUGAUAAUUGUAUGUAGGCGAUUUAAUUGUAUUCAGUCUAAUCUGCGUAUGUUUUUGCAUGUGGGUGUGUAUUGUAUAUUUUUUUAUUCGUAUAUUUUUAUAUCCAUAUGAAUGUAUCGGAUGUGUGUUUUUUGAUAUAUGUGUAUGUGUAUAUAUAUAUAUAUAUGCAAGUUUGUUCUAUAUUGCUACACACACACAUAUAUAUGUAUGUAUGUGUGUGUAUAUAUACAUACAUACAUACAUGUAUGUAUGUUUGUAUAUGUAUGUGUGUGUGUGUGUGUUAUGUGUUGGUUCAUAUAUACAUUAUGCAUAUACUUAUGUGUAUACAUUUGUUCUGUGUUUUUCUAUAUAUACAAAUACAUAUACAUAUGAAUAUCUGUAUAUUUAUAUAUACAUAUGUAUAUAAAUAUAAAUGUUUCUAUAUACCUACACAGAUUUUUAAAGAUGAUGUAUUACGAAUUAGAAUGAGUAUCAACUCAUUAGGAUCCUAAUGUACAAAUGUCCAAUCGUUUAAUUGUAUAUGUACAAUAUUAUAUGUUUAUACAAUAUAGUAUUGAUAUACAUAUGUGUAUGUUUAUUCAAUACAUAGUACGCAUAUGUUAUACAAAUGUGUUUGUCUCAUAUGUAUAUGUUUAUACAUUUAAUUUUAUAUAUAUAAUGUUAUAACAUUUAUACAAUAUAGCGUUGAUAUACAUAUGUAUACAUUAUACAUUAGAAUUAUAAAAUUUUAAUGUGUUUAUAUAUACAAUUAAACAUAUACAUUUAGUUAAGAUUCAGUUUUAUAAAGUAUAAUUGGUUUGUAUACAUUUGUACUAAAAAUGAUCACUUUUGAUAGAAAAAUAAAUGAUCAAAUAUGGAAGAAGAAUAAACGAUCAAGUAUGAAAGAAGAAGGAUAAAUGUUUUCUGUUAUAUAUGAGCUUAAAUGAUCAACUAUCGAAGGACAAUAUUGGAAAAAGUUGGAGAUAAUAAUCGGCAUUAAUUAAUAUCCCUUUUAAAAAAAUUAAUAUUAGUUAUAUUUGUAUGAAUAGGCUCUAAAUACAUUUGGUCACUAACUAACUGAUGUCUAUAUAAUUUAGAGAAAAUUAUCUUGUAUAUACUUAUUAGAUUGCUUAUUGCAAGUUAUAGUAACAUUUUUAGAUAAUUAUUGAACUAUGAAAUUAAUUGCAAGUUGUAGCAAUUUUUAAACAAAUAGUUUUAUUUCUUUUUUUAAAAGAAUCAUUUAAUACAUAUUUAUUAAUCUAAUUAUCUCCUAUUUUUUAGUAUUUAAUAUUUUAUCUCUCCUAAAUAAUUAUGUUGAUAAUCAUGGUACGAGUAAAAUCUAAUCAAUAAUUUAUUUUUAUUAUUCACGUUUUUUUUCUUUUUCAGAAAAAUUACCUGUUUCUCUAUAACUCUCUUUAUUGAAAAAAUAUUCUAUGUCUAUUAACACACGCAUCUUCCUUAACUAUAUUACUUUUUUUUAGUCAUAUGUAUAUGAAUUUCUGGUUUUGAAUUUUCUUUGUGUAUCAUCUUUGGUCCUUUUUAAUCGAUUUUGCUUUUGGAGUUUUUGAAGAAGAAAUUUCGUCACACAAAUUCAAAUAAUCAAAGAGUGGAAUAGAUGCAUCUUCUUGAGUUACAAGGUUUAGGUGUAAUGUAACAAUUUUCAAAUAUGUUGCUAAGAAGGUUAGCAACAAGAAAUUCAAAAACGUUUGAAAGGUAUUUAUUUUUAAUUUUUGUGUAUUAAAAAGAAAUAUUUUUUCUUUUUCUUUUUUAUAAUUACACACUGAAAUGCACGAUAAUUAGGUGUGUCAUUUUUUGUUAGUUUCUUUUAUCACUAUAUGUUUGUACUUAAAUUUUUUUGAUUAUUUUGUUACAGUGAUUAUGGAUGUUUGCAUGUGUCUUUGCUGAAUUUCUUAGUCAUAGUGUGUUUGAGAUUUCAAGAAUCAACUUCUAUGAUUUUGGCCAUUGUAUUAGAUAUGGUGUACUAUUUUGGGAUUAUAUAUGUUUUGCGGAAAUUUUGACGACUUAUGUGAAGAGUGGCCACUUAAUUUUGAAAAGGAAUUAAGAAAUCUUUAAAAAUAUUUUAAACGAUCCAAAACAGAAAAAUCGUCUAAAAUUUAAAGAUUCUAAGUAAGCGGUUCCUAUUAACAUUUUAGGAAGGUGUUUGGCACCUAGAACGUCCAUUAACUUAUGGUUAUUCGGACUGUUUGAAAACAUAUUUGAUUAACUUCUAAAAAGAUUAAUUUGUUGAAAAGUGGUUGACUUGUUAGAAAGAAGACUUGUGUAAAAUAGAUUUAGACACCUGGAACAUAGAGACGACCCUGACAACGCAAAACAUCAUCUCCCCCUUGGGAGAAAACCUCUACUUUUUUAUCCUAAACUGACUCUUUCAACUUGACAAGGCUGGGAUCUCUAUCUUGCUUUUCUUUUACCUCGGAAACUAGAGAUGAUUUUAAACAACUCUGAACCCAUAUAUCACCCUCUUUUAUAUUAACUAAGAGAACGCCUAGUCCGGCAAGCUGAUGGACUUAGUAAGGAUUUUAACUAAGCCUAAACAAAACUAAUAAAUAAAUAAACACAUAAAAGGGGGGAAGAGAUGAGAAAGUAAAGGAUUUAGGCCAUUGGGCCCAAAUCAACAGACCUGUCCUAGUUUAAUUGAUUUUUCGACCCAUUUCACCUGUCCUAAUCUAGUUUUCGAGCCCUUGGCUCGAGUUCGCUCCACCUUUAUUAAGUUUAUAACUUUGGCUUCAAGACCCAAAAUAUAAUGAAUAAUGAAAUUUAAAAAAAAUGAAUAGAUAAUAAUAAAGGAUGACAAUGAAUGAACAAAUGAAAAUAAGACUCUCGCAUCUCUUUGUCCCUUCAAAUAUGGGACUUUAACUCAUUUUUCUCGUCUUCUGACUUUUCGUAUCCAUAUGCCAUGAGAUUGUCUUUGGAAAUAGUCUUUCAAAAAAUUAACUCAGGGCUAGACGGGCCUCAAUGGCCCAUAAUAAACAUGCAAAGAGAAAACAAUCUGUAUAGGACUCAAACAUAUCCACAUGCAAAAAGAAAAAAAAGUGAAGUAAUUAACAUAUAUCCUAAGGUUAAUAGUUAAACGAGUACUAAAUUAUCAUGUAUAAUAAAAACAUGCAAAAUUAGUUUAACAAAGGUAACUUCUCAUUAUGUAACAUACAUGGAAACCAACAACAACAACAACAACGAAUCCAGUGUAUCCCCCGAGGGUAAAAUGUACGCAGUCCAUACCGCUACCUCAAAUAUGAGAUAGAGAGGUUGUUUCCGAUAGACCCCCAUCUCACCAGAGAACAAACUAAUAUAAGGAACAGUAAUAGUAAAAAUAUCAAAAGAAUAAGAUACAAUAGGGAUAAGCAAACUCAAAACAAUUAGAAUUAGCAUCUUAAAACACAAGUCUAGUCUCUACUGUAAAUAUUUACCUAAACUAACUACUAAUUGCAAAAACAAGUCCAACAAAUGAGAAUAAGAACCAUAGAAUACUCUGAGCAGUUUUACAGUGAAUCUAAUCCGUAAAUAUCCACAACGGAGAAAUUCAAGUUGACUCUCUUAAUAUGGAUUUUAAAUCAUAUUUCAGUGACGGGGAGGAGAAACUAGCUCUUUACAUUGACAAGCCAUUAACCAAAUUUAUUUUAUCACAAAAAUCCUAUUCUUUAACUCAGAAAUGAUAUAAUGAUUCAGCAUAAGGAUUUAAGCAUAUAAAGGGACUUUAGUUUGGUUUCCAUCUCACUGACUGGUUAUUUGAAUCCAUGAGUCAAAGGUCAUUGAGAUGUCAUCAACCUCACAACUUUGCUCCAUGGAUAAAUCUAUUUUCCCCAAUGGAUAUUGAAUUAGGAGUCCUAAUGAACCAUUAUCUUAACACAUAAUCACAAAGACAAAACAUGAGAGGAACAUACUGAUAGACAAGUAAAAAGGGUGAACUAUUUAGGACCUUGAUUUGUCAAAUAAGAUAAAGGAAGCUGAUAGAAACAACCAUAAACAUGGAUGAUUUUAGGCAGUAGCUUUUAAUAUUAUUAAAAAGGAGAAAUAAGUAGCAACAAGGUUGAAACAAGUACGAACAAUAGUCACACUUAGAGAUAAAUCUAAAAUGUAACCUAAUAAAUAAUGCUAAACAAAUUUUAAUGAUUUUAGAAAGCGAGAGACUUUGAUUUUUUCUUUUUCAAACACUUGAAUCAACAUCUAAAUGGAAAAUAAAAUUAAAGCGAAAAACAACAUCAUCAUAUUAAAGCUGAUUCAACGCUUACUCUUCAGUACAAUCAAAUCAUUUCAACUAACACAAGACAAGGAUUUCAAGAAAGGAAACAAGAAAAGACGCCUAAAUCUACAGCAACAACACCACACUCAGGUGAGAGAGAGGUUCAACACUUCAAUUGGUAUGGCGACAGUAAAUCAAAUAAAAAUCAAAGUAAAGCUACAGGCAGCAUGAUGGAUUAUCAUAAAAAAAACCUUUUAAGAAAAAAAAGUAAUAACACUAAAAAUUAAUUAUGAUAGUGUAUGAUGACAAAUGCAACAAUUCUCUUAUAAACAAAAUAAAAUCACAGAUCCUUGAGCACAUGGCAAAAACAAGGAAAACUAAAUACGGCCAUAAUAUUUAACGUAAACCAGACUAUUCAACAUAACAAACAACAAUCACACGAAAUCCUAAGGCCUUCAACAGCUUCUACAGUAACAAAUCCCAGCCUCAUUCAUGAUUAUAAUUAAGCAACCAACUGAUUCCACGAAGAAAAGGGAUGAAGGAGAAAAUAAUGAAAUUAAAGGGGCGAGAGUGUGUUUACAUCUUCCAGGGCAACAAAAUGGGACCUCGAGGCUAAUAUUGGAAUCACAACCACCAAAAAAUGUCUUUGCCUUCAACUCAAAGCUAUAAUUUAGUCGAUGAACUUUUGAAAAACAAAAACAGAAUUCCUACUAAACGACUGAAUUUUCUUGAAAAGUUUCUUUCUUUCUUUUUUCCUUCCUUAGUUUUUUCUGAAUCCAAAAUUUCCAAUUUAGCUUUCCAAAACUUUUUCCUCUUUCCAGACCCAAAACUUUCAAACCAGAGUUUUCAACCUUCUUCCUCCUUAAUUUUUUUUUACUUCAAUACCCCCAAAAAUCGAACCCUUUUUUGUGUGUAUUUCUAAUUUUUUGAAGAUUUUCUCUAACCCUAAUUUUUUUCCAAUCCCCACUUUUCUCCUAAAACCCCCUUUUAUAGAGAAGAAAUUAGGGUUCCCUUUUGUCUUGAACGACGUCGGAUCAAAUGAAAAAGAAGGGGGUAUUUUGGAAUUUUCAGAUGGAAAAAUUUUAAUUGAAGCUGAAGAUAGGGUUUCUCGUUGAAAAUCGGUACUAAUUUUGGAAUUUUCCCAACAAUCCAAAAAUAAUCAGCCAAUAAGAAAUGAGGAAGCAAAAUUCCCUCAUGAACCAAAAAAAAUUGCCAAAAAUGUACGAAUCUGUAACGAUUAUUUUAAGAUUUGUAGAAUUUGGAUAUUGGGGGAUGACACCUAGCAUGUUUAUAGAAGGUUCAAGGGUUUCCUUUGUGUGACCCAUGCGAGAUGCGUGAGGAAGGCUGCAAACGGGUUGAUUUUUUAUUUUGGUUGAAAUCGGGUUGGGUAUGGUUGUAAGCGUAUUUUGUACGCUGGUUGUUGUUCGUUGUUAGGAUGGUUGUUG
Molecule: long non-coding RNA, 7423 nt
Filed under: Capsicum annuum
Lineage: Eukaryota; Viridiplantae; Streptophyta; Magnoliopsida; Solanales; Solanaceae
Description: long non-coding RNA (CANN_LNC013973)
Source: RNAcentral